GCCGCUUUAUAGAGUAGCCUCCAAGUUAGAUUUAGAGUAAAGUAGUUUCAGAAUUUAGAUUCUUUAGAGUCUAUAAAAUUUCGAUUUCUAGAGCACAUUCCUAGCCACACACAAAAAGAGAGAUCAUGAUGAUGUUAACUAUAUGUUUGUACUGAUUUUCUUGGAGUAGUAGAUCUCGCGUCCGACCAAGUCACUGACCAUAGGACAGAGAGAAUUCCCA
RNAcentral lists this long non-coding RNA (220 nucleotides) under Capsicum annuum. Its description in RNAcentral is "long non-coding RNA (CANN_LNC009075)". The record is from RNAcentral. Lineage: Eukaryota; Viridiplantae; Streptophyta; Magnoliopsida; Solanales; Solanaceae.